UACGUAGGUGGCAAGCGUUGUCCGGAAUUACUGGGUGUAAAGGGAGCGCAGGCGGGUGAUCAAGUCAGCUGUGAAAACUAUGGGCUUAACCCGUAGACUGCAGUUGAAACUGUUCAUCUUGAGUGAAGUAGAGGUUGGCGGAAUUCCGAGUGUAGCGGUGAAAUGCGUAGAUAUUCGGAGGAACACCGGUGGCGAAGGCGGCCAACUGGGCUUUAACUGACGCUGAGGCUCGAAAGUGUGGGGAGCAAACAGG
RNAcentral lists this ribosomal RNA (253 nucleotides) under Eubacterium coprostanoligenes. Its description in RNAcentral is "partial 16S ribosomal RNA". It matches the Rfam family "Bacterial small subunit ribosomal RNA", at positions 524 to 776 of the family's 1533-position model. The record is from RNAcentral. Lineage: Bacteria; Bacillati; Bacillota; Clostridia; Eubacteriales; Eubacteriaceae.